Molecule: long non-coding RNA, 908 nt
Organism: Raphanus sativus (radish)
Lineage: Eukaryota; Viridiplantae; Streptophyta; Magnoliopsida; Brassicales; Brassicaceae
Exons: 3
Source: RefSeq, a predicted model, not a curated record
GUAAUUGCGUAAACUACACGCGCAUUCAUUAUAUGCGAUUUGUUCUUCGCCAUCGCCGCCGUCUUGGUACCCUCUUCGCGAACGCAAGAGAAACGGCUACGAAAUCAAAUCAGAGAGGACAACCUCUGUCAAGCAUUACUUCCAAGCUCCCCUUCCCCUUUGUUGACUGACUUGAGGGAGCUAAUUACAAUUCUGCGUACGAAUACGAAUUUGAUGAAUUUGAUUGGAUCCUCUUUUAUCUAAGCAGGCUUUGUACCAAAAACAGGGUCUGUUUCUUAUCUCACUGAUCCAUCAAAGGUGGAGGAGGCUUCUGCUGAAGGUAACGCACAGCUGGAGGUUGUAGAGAGGUUGCUCAAGGUUUAUUUGGCGUGCCCUCCCAAGACCAAAAACAUCAUGGAACUCAAGGUUCAGUUGUAGAUACCUUUAUUAAGUGGAGAGAGCACACUAUCAAAGAAUAAUAAUGGCUUAGAGCAGAGAUAAAGAGCAAAGAACGCAAAGAGUCUUUUGUUACUUUUUCUUAAUAAUAAACCUCACACAAUUCUGCAGUUGUUUCAUUGAAAUGUUUGCAAUUUUUCUGUAAUUUUAUGUCUAUCUUUAGCACUGAUGCUGUUAGGUUAUAAAUCUUUGGAUUCAAAUACAUUAAUGAUUUUGUUCAGAAUUUUGUGGAGAAGAAUAUGUAUGAUACAAAGAACAAUAUCAACAUUUUUGCUUCUGUUCUAUACAAUAAGAUUUUGGUUUUCCAUAAUAAGAACCAGUUUUGAGUUCUAAGCAAAAAUAUCACAGAAUAUCUAAACAAAUGAUGCAUGUAAUGAUCAUACACAACUCUGUCUUUCUACUUCCCAGAGGCUACAUUGAUUGCACUCCGUCGUCAUCAUGAAGAUGUUCAGCUCCUUUGUUCUUUUUUUUCU